UACGAAGGGGGCUAGCGUUGCUCGGAAUUACUGGGCGUAAAGCGCACGUAGGCGGCUUUCUAAGUCGGGGGUGAAAUCCUGGAGCUCAACUCCAGAACUGCCUUCGAUACUGGAGAGCUCGAGUCCGGGAGAGGUGAGUGGAACUGCGAGUGUAGAGGUGAAAUGCGUAGAGAUCCGGAGGAACACCAAUGGCGAAGGCAGGGUCCUGGCUGGCACCUGACGCUCAUGUGCGAAAGCCAGGGGAGCGAACGGG
RNAcentral lists this ribosomal RNA (253 nucleotides) under uncultured bacterium. RNAcentral's name for it is "partial 16S ribosomal RNA". It matches the Rfam family "Bacterial small subunit ribosomal RNA", at positions 524 to 776 of the family's 1533-position model. The record is from RNAcentral.